This 274-nucleotide ribosomal RNA is filed under the name uncultured bacterium. RNAcentral describes it as "partial 16S ribosomal RNA". It matches the Rfam family "Bacterial small subunit ribosomal RNA", at positions 523 to 796 of the family's 1533-position model. The record is from RNAcentral.
AUACGGGGGUUGCAAGCGUUAAUCGGAAUUACUGGGCGUAAAGCGCGCGUAGGCGGUUUGCUCAGUCGGAUGUGAAAGCCCAGGGCUCAACCUUGGAACUGCAUACGAUACUGGCAAACUAGAGUGUGAGAGAGGAUAGUGGAAUUUCCGGUGUAGCGGUGAAAUGCGUAGAUAUCGGAAGGAACAUCAGUGGCGAAGGCGACUGUCUGGCUCAACACUGACGCUGAGGUGCGAAAGCGUGGGUAGCAAACAGGAUUAGAAACCCUAGUAGUCC